GUUUUGUCAGGUAAAGCGAAUGAUUAGAGGUUCCGGGGAAGUAACUUCCUCGACCUAUUCUCAAACUUUAAAUGGGCAAGAUCCAGUAGUUACUUAAUUGAACUAUUGGGGUCAAUGAGACGACUCUAAGUGGGCCAUUUUUGGUAAGCAGAACUGGCGAUGAGGGAUGAACCUAACGCUCGGUUAAGGUGCUAAACUGCUCGCUCAUCAGAUACCACAAAGGGUGUUGGUCGAUCUUAACAGCAGGACGGUGGUCAUGGAAGUCGAAAUCCGCUAAGGAGUGUGUAACAACUCACCUGCCGAAUCGACUAGCCCCGAAAAUGGAUAGCGCUGAAGCGAGUGACCGAUACCGGGCCAUUGUUGCAAGAUAAUUGGCAACAAUGAGUAGGAGGGCGUGGGGGUUGUGAAGAAGCUUGGACGUGAGUCUGAGUGAAACAGCUUCCAGUGCAGAUCUUGGUGGUAGUAGCAAGUAUUCAAUAAGAGAACAUUGAAGGCCGAAGUGGGGAAGGGUUCCAUGUGAACAGCACUUGGACAUGGGUUAGCCGAUCCUGAGAGACAGGUUAAAUUCCAUCGGAUUGGAGCUUUGGCUCUGUUUCUCGAAAGGGAAGCUGGUUAGUAUUCCAGCGCCGAGACGUGGAUAAUAUGUGGCAACACAAGUGAACUCGGACACGCCAUAGGGGACCCCAGGAAGCGUUGUCUUUUCUUUUUAACAGUUCGACUUACCCUGGAAUCAGAUCAUCUGGAGAUAGGGUUUUCGAACUGGAAUAGCACCUUGUCUAACAGGGUGUCUGGAGUGUUCUCGCUGGCCCUUGAAAAUCCGAGGGAUAGAUUUAUUCGCACUCUCGAUCGUACCCAUAACCGCAUCAGUCUCCAAGUUAGAAGCCUCUGGUCCGUAGACAAAGUAGAUAAGGAGUCGCAAAUAGUCCGUACUUCGGAAAGGACUGGCUCUGAGUUUGUAUGUGACUGAUAUCGUGAGUCGAGCAGAGACUACUGUGCUCACGUGACUGUGGACUCUGCUGAUACUCAUGAUCAGCUGCU
RNAcentral lists this non-coding RNA (1038 nucleotides) under Perkinsus marinus ATCC 50983. Its description in RNAcentral is "Eukaryotic large subunit ribosomal RNA". It matches the Rfam family "Eukaryotic large subunit ribosomal RNA", at positions 998 to 2075 of the family's 3401-position model. Lineage: Eukaryota; Perkinsozoa; Perkinsida; Perkinsidae. The record is from Rfam by way of RNAcentral.